UCCGAGUUGACCCCGGCAGUCUCCCAUGAGUCCCCGGUAUAACCCGCUGGCAACAUGGAACGAGGGUUGCGCUCGUUGCGGGACUUAACCCAACAUCUCACGACACGAGCUGACGACGGCCAUGCAGCACCUGUGCGGGCUCCCGAAGGAGGACCGUGUUUCCACGGCUUCACCCCGCAUGUCAAGUCCUGGUAAGGUUCUUCGCGUCGCGUCGGAUUAAGCCACAUGCUCCGCCGCUUGUGCGGGUCCCCGUCAAUUCCUUUGAGUUUUAGCCUUGCGGCCGUACUCCCCAGGCGGAGUGCUUAAUGCGUUAGCUGCGGCACGGAGCGGGUUGAAGACCGCCCCACACCUAGCACUCAACGUUUACGGCUGGGACUAC
This 379-nucleotide unclassified non-coding RNA is filed under the name uncultured Actinomycetes bacterium. RNAcentral's name for it is "uncultured actinobacterium contains 16S-23S intergenic spacer region". The record is from RNAcentral. Lineage: Bacteria; Bacillati; Actinomycetota; Actinomycetes.